UACGGAGGAUGCAAGCGUUAUCCGGAUUUAUUGGGUUUAAAGGGUGCGUAGGCGGAUAUGUAAGUCAGUGGUGAAACUCACAGGCUCAACCUGUGCCGUGCCGUUGAAACUGUGUAUCUGGAAUGCGGAUGCUGUGGGAGGAAUGUGUAGUGUAGCGGUGAAAUGCAUAGAUAUUACACAGAACACCGAUUGCGAAGGCAGCUCACAAAGCUAUUUCUGACGCUGAGGCACGAAAGCGUGGGGAG
Molecule: ribosomal RNA, 245 nt
Filed under: uncultured prokaryote
Description: partial 16S ribosomal RNA
Rfam family: Bacterial small subunit ribosomal RNA
Source: RNAcentral